Molecule: long non-coding RNA, 991 nt
Filed under: Oryza brachyantha (malo sina)
Lineage: Eukaryota; Viridiplantae; Streptophyta; Magnoliopsida; Poales; Poaceae
Description: long non-coding RNA (OBRA_LNC002745)
Source: RNAcentral
GCCCACCACCUCCAUGGCGGCGGCGAUCAGGCACCACGCAGCAGCCCAGGCGCGCGCGCGCGGCGACAUAGGAACAUGAGAGCGCGACGCGACGCGACACGAGGGCGGCCGGUGGGGCCGUUAUUCUCGUUAUCGUGGGGAGGCCGCAGGCAGCGCGCGCGGCCUGAGAACUUUAUGCGCACACCGCACGAGGGCUCGCGACAGAAAAAGCUGCGGAUAGAGAGGGUGGCCGGCUCUGGUUGGCCACCGGCUGACCUCGUCGUCGUCUUCCUCUGUCCCUCCCCCCUGCCAGAGCCGUUCUUCCUCACGUAAUCCACGGCCUCAACGACGACCAACUGUCGCUGCUCAUCGUGACGCCAUAAUACCUAACCUCCACUUCCUAAUCCUACUCACUAACUAUCUCCAAUUUGGGGAUAAAUCAUCACUCACACUACAGCUCCAGCUCCUAAUCUCAAUUGGCUCAUCGCAAAACAGCAAAACAAACAAGACUCCUGUUCUGGGUUUGCUUGACCAGAAGUUUGCAGGAAUCGCAGGGAGAGUAUCAGGUUCAACGCGUGUUCUGUUCAGACCCAAAGGGGGAGGAGAGGGGGUCAAUUUGUCGGAUUGAUCACGGUGCAAAAGAAAGCUAGGAUGGAUUAUGGAUGGCAUUGUCAAAUGGAGCUUUCCAAGCCAAACCGGAAAGCGACGGGACCCGUUUCUGUGCCUGGACUUGGGAGGCUUACGUUUGUGGACAGACCAAGAAAGAGAAGCUGCAGUAGCCUAGCUAGAAAGGUACCUUUGCGUUGUGCCAUCGAGUUGAACCUCAACCCAGCACAUGCUUUUUAUUUUUAUUUUCUUCUUCUAGCUACUACAGUUGAAUAGAGAUGAAAACAGUAUAAAAAUUCCGAAUCAUAUAGAUAUUAUUUUUGCAAAAAUGAUAUAAAAAUAUUAUCUUUUCUGAAUAUUUAUGUUUGUAAGAUAUAUUUUUUAUAUAUUUAUGUUCGUUAUUGAG